Molecule: ribosomal RNA, 758 nt
Filed under: uncultured bacterium
Lineage: Bacteria
Description: bacterial SSU rRNA
Rfam family: Bacterial small subunit ribosomal RNA
Source: RNAcentral
AGAGUUUGAUCAUGGCUCAGGAUGAACGCUGGCGGCGUGCCUAACACAUGCAAGUCGAGCGAUUUACUUCGGUAAAGAGCGGCGGACGGGUGAGUAACGCGUGGGUAACCUGCCCUGUACACACGGAUAACAUACCGAAAGGUAUGCUAAUACGAGAUAAUAUACUUUUAUCGCAUGGUAGAAGUAUCAAAGCUCCGGCGGUACAGGAUGGACCCGCGUCUGAUUAGCUAGUUAGUAAGGUAACGGCUUACCAAGGCGACGAUCAGUAGCCGACCUGAGAGGGUGAUCGGCCACAUUGGAACUGAGACACGGUCCAAACUCCUACGGGAGGCAGCAGUGGGGAAUAUUGCACAAUGGGCGAAAGCCUGAUGCAGCAACGCCGCGUGAGCGAUGAAGGCCUUCGGGUCGUAAAGCUCUGUCCUCAAGGAAGAUAAUGACGGUACUUGAGGAGGAAGCCCCGGCUAACUACGUGCCAGCAGCCGCGGUAAUACGUAGGGGGCUAGCGUUAUCCGGAAUUACUGGGCGUAAAGGGUGCGUAGGUGGUUUCUUAAGUCAGAGGUGAAAGGCUACGGCUCAACCGUAGUAAGCCUUUGAAACUGGGAAACUUGAGUGCAGGAGAGGAGAGUGGAAUUCCUAGUGUAGCGGUGAAAUGCGUAGAUAUUAGGAGGAACACCAGUUGCGAAGGCGGCUCUCUGGACUGUAACUGACACUGAGGCACGAAAGCGUGGGGAGCAAACAGGAUUAGAUACCCUKGKAGU